GCAUUUAUCUAGCAUAGGAAGCGUGCAAAGUUACACCGGAGAUAUAAUGCGUGAGAGCUGUAGGGGGAAUGCGUUGGAGCUAAAACUCUGUAAAAUCC
This 98-nucleotide small RNA is filed under the name Helicobacter pylori. Its description in RNAcentral is "Heliobacter pylori small RNA HPnc0580". It matches the Rfam family "Heliobacter pylori small RNA HPnc0580". Lineage: Bacteria; Pseudomonadati; Campylobacterota; Epsilonproteobacteria; Campylobacterales; Helicobacteraceae. The record is from RNAcentral.